CACGUAGGGUGCGAGCGUUGUCCGGAAUUAUUGGGCGUAAAGAGCUCGUAGGCGGUCCGUCGCGUCGGAUGUGAAAUUCCAGGGCUCAACCCUGGACCUGCAUUCGAUACGGGCGGACUAGAGUUCGGUAGGGGAGACUGGAAUUCCUGGUGUAGCGGUGAAAUGCGCAGAUAUCAGGAGGAACACCUGUGGCGAAGGCGGCCACCUGGACGACAACUGACGCUGAGACGCGAAAGCGUGGGUAGCAAACAGG
This 253-nucleotide ribosomal RNA is filed under the name uncultured bacterium. RNAcentral's name for it is "partial 16S ribosomal RNA". It matches the Rfam family "Bacterial small subunit ribosomal RNA", at positions 524 to 776 of the family's 1533-position model. The record is from RNAcentral.